AUACAUUUUGGUUGGCAUAAUCCUACUUUGAAGUUCAUUGAAAUAUUUUAGGAUAUAAAUUCCUCAAUUCAAAUCACUUGUUCGAUGGCAGCCCAAUAAGUACGAAACAGGGCUUAAAGCCCAUUAAUAGCCUCUAUAUAAGAUAGUCCCAACUAAUAUCCUCAAAUGAAACCCUAAUUUUACUUUCUCCGCCUCAUUCUGGGCAGCUAACGACGCCGGAGUGUAGUAUUGAUUGUUAAGUUCUAUCGGAUUGCCCAAUGAUGGAAAAUCUAUGUAUAUUGAGCGGCUGUGAUGGUUAUAGAUUCAUCCGUUGCCUUUAUGCAUCACCUGAAUAUCAGCGGCAACCGCCAUUCUUUCUCCCUUUCCUUGUCUCCUUCAACAUCACACACUAAAGCACACUUGCACUUUUGCCGCUGAUGUUUAUGGUGAUGUAUGAAAGGCUUCUGAUGAGUUCCAUCACGAUUUAGCUGUCUGUGAUUUUGAAGCUAUGAGAUCUGAGGGCUCUUUUACAGUUUUAUUUCUCUCAAAUAUUCAGUACAGAUACAAUCCCCUUUGUGGGUGUAUAAAUUUGCAUAACCACUAAUUAUUUGUAAUUGCUUGUGUUUUGUAUAAUUAAUGUGAAUUUUUAAAAUAGGGUUCGAGUGAUUUUAAAUGUCUUACAGUUCAUAAACUAAUGAAAUCAAGUUUAUCUGA
Non-coding RNA from Solanum lycopersicum (tomato), 693 nucleotides. The record is from RefSeq and is a predicted model, not a curated record. NCBI's taxonomy places the organism in Eukaryota, Viridiplantae, Streptophyta, Magnoliopsida, Solanales, Solanaceae.